AGGUGCGAUCAUACCAGCACUAAUGCACCAGAUCCCAUCUGAACUUCGCAGUCAAGCAUGCUCGGGCGAGAUUAGUACUAGGAAGGGCGACCUCCUGGGAAGUCCUCGUCUUGCACCUC
Molecule: ribosomal RNA, 119 nt
Filed under: Lupinus angustifolius (narrow-leaved blue lupine)
Lineage: Eukaryota; Viridiplantae; Streptophyta; Magnoliopsida; Fabales; Fabaceae
Source: RNAcentral